RNAcentral lists this ribosomal RNA (253 nucleotides) under uncultured bacterium. RNAcentral describes it as "partial 16S ribosomal RNA". It matches the Rfam family "Bacterial small subunit ribosomal RNA", at positions 524 to 776 of the family's 1533-position model. The record is from RNAcentral.
UACGUAGGUGGCAAGCGUUGUCCGGAAUUAUUGGGCGUAAAGCGCGCGCAGGCGGUCCUUUAAGUCUGAUGUGAAAUCCCACGGCUCAACCGUGGAAGGUCAUUGGAAACUGGGGGACUUGAGUACAGAAGAGGAAAGCGGAAUUCCAAGUGUAGCGGUGAAAUGCGUAGAUAUCGGGAGGAACACCAGCGGCGAAGGCGGCUUUCUGGACCAAUACUGACGCUGAGACGCGAAAGCGUGGGGAGCAAACAGG